RNAcentral lists this ribosomal RNA (1424 nucleotides) under uncultured bacterium. RNAcentral describes it as "bacterial SSU rRNA". It matches the Rfam family "Bacterial small subunit ribosomal RNA". The record is from RNAcentral.
GAGUUUGAUUCUGGCUCAGGACGAACGCUGACGGCGUGCCUAACACAUGCAAGUCAGGGCUCCGGCCCGGCGCACGGGUGAGUAACGCGUAGAUAAUCUGCCCAUAUCUCUGUGAUAACAUCGGGAAACUGCAAUAAACACAGAUGAGGCCUUCGGGUCAAAGGUAACGGAUAUGGAUGAGUCUGCGUCUGAUUAGAUAGUUGGUGGGGUAACGGCCUACCAAGUCAACGAUCAGUAGCGGGUCUGAGAGGAUGAUCCGCCACACUGGAACUGAGACACGGUCCAGACUCCUACGGGAGGCAGCAGUGAGGAAUUUUGGUCAAUGGAGGAAACUCUGAACCAGCGACGCCGUGUGUGUGAUGAAGGGGCUCCGCCCUGUAAAGCACUGUCAGAUGGGAAAAAAAGCACCCUCGGGGUGCCGGGAUUGUACCAUCAGAGGAAGGACCGGCUAACUACGUGCCAGCAGCCGCGGUAAUACGUAGGGUCCAAGCGUUGUCCGGAAUUACUGGGUAUAAAGGGUCCGCAGGCGGUCUUGUGCGUCCAGGGUUAAAGACCACGGCUCAACCGUGGGAGUGCCCUGGAUACGGCAGGACUUGAGUACGAGAGAGGUAAGUAGAAUUCCUGGUGUAGCGGUGAAAUGCGUAGAUAUCAGGAGGAAUACCAGUGGCGAAGGCGACUUACUGGCUCGUUACUGACGCUCAGGGACGAAAGUGUGGGGAGCAAACAGGAUUAGAUACCCUGGUAGUCCACACCGUAAACUAUGUAUGCUUGGUGUUCCUACUAUGUAGGAGUGCCGGAGGAAAUCCGUUAAGCAUACCACCUGGGAAGUACGAUCGCAAGGUUGAAACUCAAAGGAAUUGACGGGGGCCCGCACAAGCGGUGGAUUAUGUGGUUUAAUUCGAUGCAACGCGAAGAACCUUACCGGGGCUUGAACUGCAGUGGACUUUGUGUGAAAGCACAUUUUUCUUCGGAACUGCUGUAGAGGUGCUGCAUGGUUGUCGUCAGCUCGUGCCGUGAGGUGUUGGGUUAAGUCCCGCAACGAGCGCAACCCCUAUCUUUAGUUGCCAGCACGUAAUGGUGGGAACUCUAAAGAGACUGCCCGCGCAAGCGGAGAGGAAGGCGGGGAUGACGUCAAAUCAUCAUGGCCCUUACGUCCCGGGCUACACACGUAAUACAAUGGAUAGUACAGAAGGCGAAGCCGCGAGGUGGAGGAAAUCCUUAAAACUAUUCUCAGUUCGGAUUGGAGUCUGCAACUCGACUCCAUGAAGUUGGAAUCGCUAGUAAUCGUAGAUCAGCGUGCUACGGUGAAUACGUUCCCGGGCCUUGUACACACCGCCCGUCAAGCCAUGGAAGCCGGGGGUGCCCGAAGCGGACUAGUUUCGUUAAGGCAAACUUGGUAACUGGGGCUAAGUCGUAACAAGGUA